AGUGAACGCUGGCGGUAGGCCUAACACAUGCAAGUCGAUCGGCAGCACAGUAAGAGCUUGCUCUUACGGGUGGCGAGUGGCGGACGGGUGAGGAAUACAUCGGAAUCUACUUUUUCGUGGGGGAUAACGUAGGGAAACUUACGCUAAUACCGCAUACGACCUACGGGUGAAAGCAGGGGAUCUUCGGACCUUGCGCGAUUGAAUGAGCCGAUGUCGGAUUUGCUAGUUGGCGGGGUAAAGGCCCACCAAGGCGACGAUCCGUAGCUGGUCUGAGAGGAUCAACACCUACCUUGGAUCUGAGACUCGGCACAGACACCUGGGGGGGGACACAGUCGGGAAUAUUGGACAAUGGGGGAAAGCCUGAUCCAGCCAUACCGCGUGGGUGAAGAAGGCGUUAUGGUUGGAAAGCCCUUAUGUUCGGAAAGAAAAGCAGCAGGUUAAUCCCCCGCUGUUCUGACGGUACCCAAAGAAUAAGCACCGGCUAACUUCGUG
Molecule: ribosomal RNA, 492 nt
Filed under: uncultured bacterium
Lineage: Bacteria
Description: partial 16S ribosomal RNA
Rfam family: Bacterial small subunit ribosomal RNA
Source: RNAcentral